UUUGAAAGCAAGCCCAAUGGGAAUAGCUGCUGGAAGUUCUAAUGGAUUCUCACAAACACCAAUUCUAAAAGGUCAGUAUUCGAUUUCUUAUAAAGUAUUGUUUUCAUGGUGCCACAAACCCUAAUCGUUGCAUACGGCAAUUUCCUAUCUGAUCAAGAUUCGUCUUUAAUUUGAUUAAUUCAAACGUUUGUGUUUAUUUUGUAAUGAUUGUAUAUGUAGAUCGAUUUUAAUUUCUUCAUAUUUCGGACAACAAAUCUGCCCUUGAAAAGAAGGUCAGAUGGAGGAAGUUUAGGACCCGAAGUACGUUUGCGGGAAAGGCGACAUCAACUUCUCGAUCAGAGAUGGAUGAUGACAUAGUGAAUAUAUGGAAUCUCAGAGGCUCAAAAAAUGUAGUGCUGCUGCCUUGGAUAUGAUCUCUAAUGUGUUUGGUAAUGAGAUUUUUUCAGCUAUUGUUCUAUAGAAUUCGGAACCUUAGUUUCGAUAUAAAUCAUGAGUUUAUUGGUAUUAUUCAU
RNAcentral lists this long non-coding RNA (512 nucleotides) under Helianthus annuus (common sunflower). Lineage: Eukaryota; Viridiplantae; Streptophyta; Magnoliopsida; Asterales; Asteraceae. The record is from RNAcentral.